This 330-nucleotide long non-coding RNA is filed under the name Homo sapiens (human). RNAcentral describes it as "non-protein coding lnc-RGMB-4:1". The record is from RNAcentral. Lineage: Eukaryota; Metazoa; Chordata; Mammalia; Primates; Hominidae.
CAAGGGCUAAAGGCUGCAACAAAGAAACAAAAUUAUAAAAAGAUUAGUGAAAACAAGAUGUUCACUACUGUUGCAGUUUUAUGUAAGGGGUUUCCUGCAGAAUUUAUCACAUACUUCAACUCAGAUAGCAACUAUAGCUCCCAUCUGAAGCAGCUAUUCCGCAUUCUUUUCAGGACCGUGAACCAUCAAUAUGACUACACAUUUGAUUGGACAAUGUAAAAGCAGAAAGUAGCACAGCAAGCAGCCUCUUCCAGUGGGCAGGGUCAGCAGGCCCAAACUCCCACAGGCAAGCAAACUGAUAAAAGCAAGAGUAACAUGAAAGGUUUCUAA